RNAcentral lists this ribosomal RNA (1820 nucleotides) under human gut metagenome. RNAcentral's name for it is "bacterial LSU rRNA". It matches the Rfam family "Bacterial large subunit ribosomal RNA", at positions 673 to 2498 of the family's 2925-position model. The record is from RNAcentral.
GAAAGCGAGUCUUAAUAGGGCGAUUUAGUACAAUGCUGUAGACCCGAAACCGAGUGAUCUAGCCAUGAGCAGGUUGAAGUUGGGGUAAUACCCAAUGGAGGACCGAACCAGGGUACUAUGUAACGUGCUUGGAUGACUUGUGGCUAGCGGUGAAAUUCCAAUCGAACUCGGAUAUAGCUGGUUCUCCCCGAAAUAGGUUUAGGCCUAGCCUUGAAUUAUUUCAUCCUGGAGGUAGAGCACUGAAUGUGGAAUGGCCGCGUCUAGCGGUACUGACUGCAAUCAACCUCCGAAUGCCAGGAAUUGUAGAUUCAGGAGUCAGUGUAUGAGGUGAUAACGUCCAUACGCGAGAGGAAAACAAUCCAGACCAUCAACUAAGGUCCCUAAAUAUAUGUUAAGUGGGAAAGGAUGUGGAGACGCACGAACAGCUAGGAGGUUGGCUUAGAAGCAGCCAUCCUUUAAAGAGUGCGUAAUAGCUCACUAGUCGAGUGGCUCUGCGCAGAACAUGUACCGGGGCUUAAGCAUAACACCGAAACUGUGGAUGUUAGUUUUUAAUUAACAUGGUAGGGGAGCGUUCUAAGGGCGUUGAAGAUAGAUCGUGAGGACUAUUGGAGCGCUUAGAAGUGAGAAUGCCGGCGUGAGUAACGUAAGGAAGGUGAGAAUCCUUCCCACUGAUUGACUAAGGGUUCCUGGGUCAAGUUCGUCUUCCCAGGGUAAGUCAGGACCUAAGGCGAGGCCGAAAGGCGUAGUCGAUGGACAACAGGUUUAUAUUCCUGUACCACCUACAAGACUGAUGGAGUGACAAAGAAGGCUAAGCAAAGCCAAUUAUUGGAUUUUGGUCUAAGCACAAAGGCGUGUUGAGUAAGCAAAUCUAUCAACUAUAACGCUGAAGUGUGAUGGGGAAAAAGUUCUACGGAACUUCAACUUUGCUGAAGCCAUGCUUUCAAGAAAAACUUCUAGGGCUAAUCUUGUAGGUGCCUGUACUCAGAACCGACACUGGUAGUCAAGGAGAGAAUCCUAAGGUGAGCGAGAUAACUAUGGUUAAGGAACUCGGCAAAAUGACCCCGUAACUUCGGAAUAAGGGGAGGUGUAGCGAUACACCCUCAGGAAAUAGGUCCAGGCAACUGUUUACCAAAAACACAGGUCUCUGCUAAAGCGUAAGCUGAUGUAUAGGGGCUGACGCCUGCCCGGUGCUGGAAGGUUAAGGGGAACACUUAGCGCAAGCGAAGGUGUGAACUUAAGCCCCAGUAAACGGCGGCCGUAACUAUAACGGUCCUAAGGUAGCGAAAUUCCUUGUCAGGUAAGUUCUGACCCGCACGAAAGGCGUAAUGAUCUGGAUACUGUCUCAACCAUAGACUCGGUGAAAUCUUAAUACCUGUGAAAAUGCAGGUUACCCGCUACAGGACAAAAAGACCCCGUGGAGCUUUACUGCAACUUGAUAUUGGAAUCAGAUGUAUCAUGUAGAGGAUAGGUGGGAGACUUUGAAGUUAGGACGUCAGUUCUAAUGGAGUCAUCCUUGGAAUACCACCCUUGAUAUGUUUGAUUUCUAACUUGCGCCCAUUAUCUGGGUGGAGGACAGUGUCUGGUGGGCAGUUUGACUGGGGCGGUCGCCUCCCAAAGAGUAACGGAGGCGCCCAAAGGUUCCCUCAGAAUGGUUGGAAAUCAUUCGUAGAGUGUAAUGGCAGAAGGGAGCUUAACUGCGAGACCUACAAGUCAAGCAGAUGCGAAAGCAGGGCAUAGUGAUCUUGCGAUCCCGAAUGGAAGGGUCGUUGCUUAACGGAUAAAAGUUACCCCGGGGAUAACAGGCUGAUCCCACCCAAUAG